This 103-nucleotide ribosomal RNA is filed under the name Caerostris darwini. The record is from RNAcentral. Lineage: Eukaryota; Metazoa; Arthropoda; Arachnida; Araneae; Araneidae.
ACGGCCGUACCAUGCUGAAUAUACCGGUUCUCGUUAGAUCACCGAAGUGAAGCAUCAUUGGGCGCGGUCAGUACUUGACCACCUGGGAACACCGCGUGCCGUU